This 460-nucleotide ribosomal RNA is filed under the name uncultured bacterium. Its description in RNAcentral is "partial 16S ribosomal RNA". It matches the Rfam family "Bacterial small subunit ribosomal RNA", at positions 338 to 795 of the family's 1533-position model. The record is from RNAcentral.
CCUACGGGGUGCAGCAGUGAGGAAUAUUGGUCAAUGGACGAGAGUCUGAACCAGCCAAGUAGCGUGAAGGAUGACUGCCCUAUGGGUUGUAAACUUCUUUUAUAUGGGAAUAAAACGUUCCACGUGUGGGAUUUUGUAUGUACCAUAUGAAUAAGGAUCGGCUAACUCCGUGCCAGCAGCCGCGGUAAUACGGAGGAUCCGAGCGUUAUCCGGAUUUAUUGGGUUUAAAGGGAGCGUAGGUGGAUUGUUAAGUCAGUUGUGAAAGUUUGCGGCUCAACCGUAAAAUUGCAGUUGAAACUGGCAGUCUUGAGUACAGUAGAGGUGGGCGGAAUGCGUGGUGUAGCGGUGAAAUGCUUAGAUAUCACGAAGAACUCCGAGUGCGAAGGCAGUUCACUGGACUGCAACUGACACUGAGGCUCGAAAGUGUGGGUAUCAAACAGGAUUAGAUACCCUAGUAGUC